RNAcentral lists this ribosomal RNA (253 nucleotides) under uncultured bacterium. Its description in RNAcentral is "partial 16S ribosomal RNA". It matches the Rfam family "Bacterial small subunit ribosomal RNA", at positions 524 to 776 of the family's 1533-position model. The record is from RNAcentral.
UACGUAGGGUGCGAGCGUUGUCCGGAAUUAUUGGGCGUAAAGCGCUUGUAGGCGGUUUGUCGCGUCUGCCGUGAAAAUCCGGGGCUCAACCCCGGACUUGCGGUGGGUACGGGCAGACUAGAGUGUGGUAGGGGAGACUGGAAUUCCUGGUGUAGCGGUGAAAUGCGCAGAUAUCAGGAGGAACACCGAUGGCGAAGGCAGGUCUCUGGGCCACUACUGACGCUGAGAAGCGAAAGCCAGGGGAGCAAACGGG